UGAUCUACGGGAGGCAGCAGUGAGGAAUAUUGGUCAAUGGGCGCGAGCCUGAACCAGCCAAGUCGUGUGAGGGAAGACUGCCCUAUGGGUUGUAAACCUCUUUUGUCAGGGAGCAACGCCGGCUACGUGUAGCCGGACUGAGAGUACCUGAAGAAAAAGCAUCGGCUAACUCCGUGCCAGCAGCCGCGGUAAUACGGAGGAUGCGAGCGUUAUCCGGAUUUAUUGGGUUUAAAGGGUGCGUAGGCGGAAUGCCAAGUCAGCGGUAAAAUCGCGGGGCUCAACCUCGCUCCGCCGUUGAAACUGGC
This 305-nucleotide ribosomal RNA is filed under the name uncultured bacterium. RNAcentral's name for it is "bacterial SSU rRNA". It matches the Rfam family "Bacterial small subunit ribosomal RNA", at positions 333 to 637 of the family's 1533-position model. The record is from RNAcentral.